Molecule: ribosomal RNA, 70 nt
Filed under: Escherichia coli
Lineage: Bacteria; Pseudomonadati; Pseudomonadota; Gammaproteobacteria; Enterobacterales; Enterobacteriaceae
Also listed under: 5 other names
Source: RNAcentral
CCUGGCGGCAGUAGCGCGGUGGUCCCACCUGACCCCAUGCCGAACUCAGAAGUGAAACGCCGUAGCGCCG